This 301-nucleotide ribosomal RNA is filed under the name uncultured bacterium. RNAcentral describes it as "partial 16S ribosomal RNA". It matches the Rfam family "Bacterial small subunit ribosomal RNA", at positions 509 to 807 of the family's 1533-position model. The record is from RNAcentral.
CAGUAGCCGCGGUAAUACGGAGGGUGCAAGCGUUAAUCGGAAUUACUGGGCGUAAAGCGUGCGUAGGCGGUUUGUUAAGUCUGCUGUGAAAUCCCCGGGCUCAACCUGGGAAUGGCAGUGGAUACUGGCAAGCUAGAGUGUGUCAGAGGAUGGUGGAAUUCCCGGUGUAGCGGUGAAAUGCGUAGAGAUCGGGAGGAACAUCAGUGGCGAAGGCGGCCAUCUGGGACAACACUGACGCUGAGGCACGAAAGCGUGGGGAGCAAACAGGAUUAGAUACCCGCGUAGUCCCUGUCUCUUAUAC